Long non-coding RNA from Sapajus apella (tufted capuchin), 591 nucleotides. RefSeq lists it as uncharacterized. Lineage: Eukaryota; Metazoa; Chordata; Mammalia; Primates; Cebidae. The transcript is spliced from 2 exons. The record is from RefSeq and is a predicted model, not a curated record.
GAUGUUUACGGCAGCCCCGAGUCAGCAAACAGCCCGGGCACCCUGCUGCAGGCCUAGUGCCUUAGGAGAGGCCGAACCUCGAGAGCUUCUGCAGCCGUCAACGGUGACACCAAACGGCAGCGUGGGGACUGUGCGUGGCGGUCUGAUGUUGAACGAGAACCUGAAAUUCACACAUCAGAACACGACAUUCUCUGUCACUGGGAUCCCCAACUCUACGGAAAGAAGCAUCUCCAGCGCCAGCUCCUCAAGCAGAGGCCUCCGAGCAGAUGCUCAGGGAACGCGUGUUUCUCUGGUGAGCAGACAGUGUCUGCAGCCGCUGCAGCCCCUGAAGAGGCGCGGGUUCCAGGAGCUGGCCACGCCUCCCUGCUGACAAUGUGGGCAUCACUCAGCCUGCCUGAGGUGCCCAUCCUCCCCAGCCUUUCCCCGAGGAAUCCUCCCAGCUGGAUACCCCUGGAAAGUGGCAGAGGCCAGGGGGGAAUCACGACCCCUCUCCUGGGUCCCAUUCACACCUCCGGCUUAAUGAGCGUGAACUGCUGGUGGCAUCUGGGUCACGCCUUUUCAGUUGAUUAAAGCAAAGCACAGAUCUGGCUG